Molecule: non-coding RNA, 70 nt
Organism: Podarcis lilfordi (Lilford's wall lizard)
Lineage: Eukaryota; Metazoa; Chordata; Lepidosauria; Squamata; Lacertidae
Source: the annotation of a GenBank genome assembly
GGACGUGGCUCACCGUUAUAACACUUGCUCUGCAUGCAGGAGGUCCCAGGUUCAAUCUCUGGCAUCUCCA